GCUCCACCGCUGCCACGGCACGGUGGGCCGACCUUACCUAGUGUGGUCAGCCAUGCCGUCCUGCUUCGGCAAACACCUUUGGGGGUUCAGAAAAACGACGAGUAGCCGGGCGCAAGCCCGUGUGAAAGUCGGGUCUGGC
Molecule: non-coding RNA, 139 nt
Filed under: unclassified sequences
Description: Bacteriophage Diversity-Generating Retroelement RNA
Rfam family: Bacteriophage Diversity-Generating Retroelement RNA
Source: Rfam by way of RNAcentral